This 75-nucleotide transfer RNA is filed under the name Lachnospiraceae bacterium. RNAcentral's name for it is "tRNA-Pro". It matches the Rfam family "tRNA". Rfam says of the family: Transfer RNA (tRNA) molecules are approximately 80 nucleotides in length. Their secondary structure includes four short double-helical elements and three loops (D, anti-codon, and T loops). RNAcentral also lists the same sequence under 7 other names. Lineage: Bacteria; Bacillati; Bacillota; Clostridia; Lachnospirales; Lachnospiraceae. The record is from RNAcentral.
CGGAAUGUAGCUCAGUUUGGUAUGAGCGCUUGGUUCGGGACCAAGAGGCCGCAGGUUCAAGUCCUGUCAUUCCGA